GCCGGACGCGGUGGCGCGCGCCUGUAGUCCCAGCUACUCGGGAGGCUGAGAUGGGAGGAUCGCUUGAGCCCAGGAGUUCUGGGCUGUAGUGCGCUAUGCCGAUCGGGUGUCCGCACUAAGUUCGGCAUCAAUAUGGUGACCUCCCGGGAGCGGGGGACCACCAGGUUGCCUAAGGAGGGGUGAACCGGCCCAGGUCGGAAACGGAGCAGGUCAAAACUCCCGUGCUGAUCAGUAGUGGGAUCGUGCCUGUGAAUAGCCACUGCACUCCAGCCUGGGCAACAUAGCGAGACCCCCGUCUCU
This 300-nucleotide signal recognition particle RNA is filed under the name Microcebus murinus (gray mouse lemur). Its description in RNAcentral is "Metazoan signal recognition particle RNA (ENSMICG00000042368.1)". It matches the Rfam family "Metazoan signal recognition particle RNA". Rfam says of the family: The signal recognition particle (SRP) is a universally conserved ribonucleoprotein. It is involved in the co-translational targeting of proteins to membranes. Lineage: Eukaryota; Metazoa; Chordata; Mammalia; Primates; Cheirogaleidae. The record is from Rfam by way of RNAcentral.